UACGGAGGGGGCUAGCGUUGUUCGGAAUUACUGGGCGUAAAGCGCACGUAGGCGGCUUUGUAAGUUAGAGGUGAAAGCCCAGGGCUUAACCCUGGAAUUGCCUUUAAGACUGCAUCGCUAGAAUCGUGGAGAGGUGAGUGGAAUUCCGAGUGUAGAGGUGAAAUUCGUAGAUAUUCGGAAGAACACCAGUGGCGAAGGCGACUCGCCGGACCGGAACUGACGCUGAGGCGCGAAAGCGUGGGGAGCAAACGGG
RNAcentral lists this ribosomal RNA (253 nucleotides) under uncultured bacterium. RNAcentral describes it as "partial 16S ribosomal RNA". It matches the Rfam family "Bacterial small subunit ribosomal RNA", at positions 524 to 776 of the family's 1533-position model. The record is from RNAcentral.